AGGCCAUGGUAGGGACAUCUUCUUUGAAGAUCCUUGAAUCUCUCCCAAAUUUCAUACAAAGAUUCACUUUCUUGUUGAGUAAUACCUGUGAUAUCCAUACAAAAUGU
Small nucleolar RNA from Coffea eugenioides, 107 nucleotides. Lineage: Eukaryota; Viridiplantae; Streptophyta; Magnoliopsida; Gentianales; Rubiaceae. The record is from RefSeq and is a predicted model, not a curated record.